Long non-coding RNA from Dermochelys coriacea (leatherback sea turtle), 205 nucleotides. RefSeq lists it as uncharacterized. NCBI's taxonomy places the organism in Eukaryota, Metazoa, Chordata, Testudines, Dermochelyidae. The transcript has 2 exons. The record is from RefSeq and is a predicted model, not a curated record.
UGUUGUUACAGUAAUGUUAUAGUAAUAUUAUAGGUUAUAAUUUCAUGUAUGUAGUUAUGAGGCUGAAAAUGUAUCCUCAUGGCUUAAAAUAAGCCCAGGCAAAAACUCUCCAAGAGCAGAGAGGCAGUUCAAACCUCAACAGGGCAUGUAUGGGAUGAACCCAGCCCAGCCUCACAGGAAUAAAGGACUCUGGCCUAGGCAGCAA